This 253-nucleotide ribosomal RNA is filed under the name uncultured Eubacteriales bacterium. RNAcentral's name for it is "uncultured Clostridiales bacterium partial 16S ribosomal RNA". It matches the Rfam family "Bacterial small subunit ribosomal RNA", at positions 524 to 776 of the family's 1533-position model. The record is from RNAcentral. Lineage: Bacteria; Bacillati; Bacillota; Clostridia; Eubacteriales.
UACGUAGGGGGCAAGCGUUAUCCGGAUUUACUGGGUGUAAAGGGAGCGUAGACGGCACUGCAAGUCCGGAGUGAAAGCCCAAGGCUUAACCAUGGGACUGCUCUGGAAACUGUGGAGCUUGAGUGCGGGAGGGGCAGGCGGAAUUCCUAGUGUAGCGGUGGAAUGCGUAGAUAUUAGGAGGAACACCAGUGGCGAAGGCGGUUUGCUGGGCCAUUACUGACGCUCAUGCACGAAAGCGUGGGGAGCAAAUAGG